CAAUAGCGUAUAUUAAAGUUGUUGCGGUUAAAAAGCUCGUAGUUGGAUUUCGGGUGGGAAUGGCCGGUCCGCCGUUUCGGUGUGCACUUGCUACGCCCACCUUGCUGCCGGGGACGUGCUCUUGAGUUCACGCUCGGGACACGGAGUCGGCGAGGUUACUUUGAGUAAAUUAGAGUGUUCAAAGCAGGCCUACGCUCUGAAUACAUUAGCAUGGAAUAACACGAUAGGACUCUGGCCUAUCUUGUUGGUCUGUAGGACCGGAGUAAUGAUUAAGAGGGACAGUCGGGGGCAUUCGUAUUCCAUUGUCAGAGGUGAAAUUCUUGGAUUUAUGAAAGACGAACUACUGCGAAAGCAUUUGCCAAGGAUGUUUUCAUUAA
RNAcentral lists this ribosomal RNA (377 nucleotides) under uncultured eukaryote. Its description in RNAcentral is "partial 18S ribosomal RNA". It matches the Rfam family "Eukaryotic small subunit ribosomal RNA", at positions 592 to 976 of the family's 1831-position model. The record is from RNAcentral.